Oryzias melastigma (Indian medaka) is the source of this 961-nucleotide long non-coding RNA. RefSeq lists it as uncharacterized. The record is from RefSeq and is a predicted model, not a curated record. NCBI's taxonomy places the organism in Eukaryota, Metazoa, Chordata, Actinopteri, Beloniformes, Adrianichthyidae. The transcript has 3 exons.
GCAUCUUUAGUGACUAUUUUCAGCAAAAACAUUCACACUAGCAUUAUCGAAGGCGGGGAGAGCGCCGUCAUGGAGGACCAGAUUCCUACUCCAGGAAUGAGUUAAUCCCAUAAUGACUUCCAAGGAUGGAAAAAGUCGGAUCGGCUUUUUUUGCCUGGAUGAGAAGAAGACGAGGAAAGGAAAAGACUUCGACAGGAUGAUGAAGCAACAUUUAACCCCCGAGAACGCAGACGGACUGUUAGCACGAAGCUAAUACGACACCUGCUGCAGCUGAAGCUUCACCACAGCACCUGAACACAGCAGAGAGGCAGGAAGAGAGCAGGAACACGCUGAUGUCACACUUCAGAUACAGAAGGAGGGGGCGGCCAUGUUUUUUAUGUGGCGCUGUACACCAGAGACAGAUCAACAGGUGUGCAGUGGGAAAUCUUUCAAAUGGCCAGAAGAUCAGCUCUGAUCAUCCAGUUUCACUCCGAGUAGUUUGAGCUGUGAAAGAUCCUAAUUUAUCUGAUUUAAUUGAAGACACUUUAAUGAGAAUGACUACACAAUAUUACAACAUUUUUAUUUAUGUAAUUUUAGUGUCUGUGUUCACCUUUUCUCCCUGAUUGCUGCGUCCACUCCCACCUGGUUCCCCUUCAGAAAGUCACAGCUGCCUUCAGUCAUCUCCUUUAAGCUCCUUAUGUAAGGCUGUGUCUACUGUAGCAUCUUCUAGACUUCAAUAACCUCAUGGAAAUAUUUAACUUAUUACAAACUAUUGAAAAAAAAAACAAUCAUUCAAAGUGUUUUGUCUUUAAAAAAAUCUGAAGUUCACACCACAAAUAUUGCUCAAAAAUAAGAAGUUUAACAGAAAUGUGUAAAUAGCAUGAAGAUCUGUGAAGCUAGUGAGACAAUCUGAUGCAAUAAAAAGGAAUACAUUCUGAAAGUGUGAAGUUUAUUCAGCAAAUCUGUGGAAAGAGUUAUAGAA